This 30-nucleotide non-coding RNA is filed under the name Rattus norvegicus (Norway rat). The record is from RNAcentral. Lineage: Eukaryota; Metazoa; Chordata; Mammalia; Rodentia; Muridae.
UGCAAUGGCUAGACUGUCCUCUCUCCACUG